This 108-nucleotide microRNA precursor is filed under the name Dipodomys ordii (Ord's kangaroo rat). RNAcentral describes it as "miRNA (ENSDORG00000029075.1)". Lineage: Eukaryota; Metazoa; Chordata; Mammalia; Rodentia; Heteromyidae. The record is from RNAcentral.
UGUGAAUCCAGCUGGUUUAAGGCUGCAGGCCCACUUCCCUUGACCAGUUUUUUUUUAAUCACAGGGAGUGGGUAAAGUGGCCCUAAACCACCAAAAUGGAUUAUACAU